ACUUGAGCGCCUUUAUCCCGCCCCUUGAUGGUAGCCAUUGAAUCGUAUCUGAGGAGUUUCGACUUCGUUGUGGCGCCGUUCGCAAGCUAGUACACUGGAGCAACAAUGGUCAAGAUCUUCAUUGGGAACCUGUCUCAGCACACUGAGAAGGAGGACAUUGAAGCUCUAUUUACCCAAUAUGGCACCGUGACAGAAUGUGCGAAGUACAAAAACUAUGCUUUUGUCCAUAUGGAAGACCGCAAGUCUGCGACCAAAGCCAUCCGUGAGCUCCAUCUCCAUAAGCUGAAUGGCAGACCAAUCAAUGUGGAGCCCAGCAGAGGGAAAGACCAGCACCCUGUGAAGCUCCACAUUGCCAAUGUGGAAAAGGGCUUCGAUGAUGAGCUCCGUGCCCUGUUUGAAGAGUAUGGCACGGUCAGAGAGUGCGCCAUUGUGAAGAACUUCGCCUUUGUACACAUGGACAGUUCUGAUGAAGCCAUGGAUGCCAUAAAGGGCCUGGAUAACACAGAGUUUCAAGGAAAGCGCAUACAUGUUCAGAUAUCAAAAAGCAGACCCAGAGAGGAGGAGGAGUAUCCACAUCCUCCGCCAGGCAGAGGAGGCUAUUAUCCUCCCCGCUUCCCUGGGGAGAGGCCCGAGCAUCCUUACAGAGAGCGCAUGUCCGCUUAUGCGCCUCUGCCUCCGCCGCCCCCUCCCCCGAGACGGGCAUCCUAUCCCGAACGUGGAUAUGGCGAGCGCGACGCCUACGGGAUGGUCGAUUUCUAUGAGAAAUACAGAGCCCGUCCUUACAGCAUGGCAGGCUACGAUGGCAGGCGUUCCAGUGACCCCCCUCCCCCUCCUCCCCCCUCUGCACUGGUUAGAGAACGUCUCGGCAUGGGUCCCCCUGACCCAUACGACCGCCGUCCGCUCCCUCCCCCUCCUCCGCCGUCCUACAUGACCAGGGAUAGAAGCCCCAUCAGACGAGCCCCGCCUCCGCCCCCUCCGUCAGCUGGUAACGGGUACUCCUACGAGCGGUCCCGGCUGUCCCCGCUGUCCAGGGCUCCGAUGUACGCUCCUCCGAUGUACGGAGCUCCUCGCCCAAGGGACUCCUUCUCGGAGAGAGGGCCGCCGCCGCCGCCACCACGAUAUGCGCCCUAUUAGGCACACGAGUGUAAUUCAAGGUUGUUAGUGUCAGUGCUGGAGAUGCCAGUUCAUGGUAAGUCCUCCUCGGAAGGAAGGUGUGAGGCAUCCUGUAGAUGAGAGGUACGUCUCUGCUCUGCCAACUGUAACUGGUCUUUGAAAUGAAUUUGUGGUCUCUGAACAUUACAAGAGGGAUCAGAUGGCCCUGUAGUCCCAGGAGGUGGAUUGACGCGGGACAGAGGGAAUGUCCAUUCAUCGGAAAAAACCUGCACUUUUGCACCCUCGAUAAAGUGUCAAACAUGACAAAGACCCCCUUCAGUCCCACCCACCGGGGUCUUCUAACCUACGCGGCCCAACGGGGGGUCCCGGGUCUUGCCACAGCUUAACAGGGGCUUUGUGAGUCCUUGAUUUUUAAGGGGUGUAAAACCAGCUUUUUAAAAACGACACACACAUACAGGCGGCCUUUAUGUCAGCAUUUUAUUACUUUCUGUAAAAACUAAAUGAAAUUAUUUGUUUAGAAGUUUGAAUUAUUAAUUUAGGUAUAACAGGACCAGAAUCAAUUUCCCAGAGCCUUCCCUCUCUGUUAAUUCAUCAGGGAAGAAUGCAGUUAAAACAAAGAGCUACUAAAACAAUGGCCAAGUGUCGGGGAGAAGAAAACACAGAAUUUUGUCUUAAAA
This is an RNA transcript of Etheostoma cragini (Arkansas darter), 1790 nucleotides long. It is a transcript of the gene named RNA-binding protein 4B-like, with no coding region annotated. The record is from RefSeq and is a predicted model, not a curated record. NCBI's taxonomy places the organism in Eukaryota, Metazoa, Chordata, Actinopteri, Perciformes, Percidae. The transcript has 6 exons.